GACGAAGGGGGCUAGCGUUGUUCGGAAUUACUGGGCGUAAAGCGCGUGUAGGCGGUUGCCCAAGUCGGGUGUGAAAGCCUUGAGCUCAACUCAAGAAAUGCACUCGGUACUGGGUGACUAGAGGACCGGAGAGGAUAGUGGAAUUCCCAGUGUAGUGGUAGAAAUACGUAGAGAUUGGGAAGAACACCAGUGGCGAAGGCGGCUAUCUGGACGGUUUCUGACGCUAAGACGCGAAAGCGUGGGGAGCAAACAGG
This 254-nucleotide ribosomal RNA is filed under the name uncultured bacterium. RNAcentral's name for it is "partial 16S ribosomal RNA". It matches the Rfam family "Bacterial small subunit ribosomal RNA", at positions 524 to 776 of the family's 1533-position model. The record is from RNAcentral.